UGGGGAAUAUUGCGCAAUGGGCGAAAGCCUGACGCAGCGACGCCGCGUGAGGGAUGAAGGUUUUCGGAUCGUAAACCUCUGUCAGAAGGGAAGAAACCGCACUGUGCUAAUCAGCAGUGCCUUGACGGUACCUUCAAAGGAAGCACCGGCUAACUCCGUGCCAGCAGCCGCGGUAAUACGGAGGGUGCAAGCGUUAAUCGGAAUUACUGGGCGUAAAGCGCACGUAGGCUGCUUUAUAAGUCAGGGGUGAAAUCCCACGGCUCAACCGUGGAACUGCCUUUGAUACUGCUUAGCUUGAAUCCGGGAGAGGGUGGCGGAAUUCCAGGUGUAGGAGUGAAAUCCGUAGAUAUCUGGAGGAACAUCAGUGGCGAAGGCGGCCACCUGGACCGGUAUUGACGCUGAGGUGCGAAAGCGUGGGGAGCAAACAGG
This 429-nucleotide ribosomal RNA is filed under the name Fusobacteriota bacterium. Its description in RNAcentral is "Fusobacteria bacterium partial 16S ribosomal RNA". It matches the Rfam family "Bacterial small subunit ribosomal RNA", at positions 355 to 776 of the family's 1533-position model. The record is from RNAcentral. Lineage: Bacteria; Fusobacteriati; Fusobacteriota.